GCCAGGCAUGGUGGCACAUGCCUGUAAUCCCAGCUACCUGGGAGGCUGAGGCAGGAGAAUCACUUGAACCUGGGAGACAGAGGUUGCAGUGAGCCAAGAUCACGCCACUGCACUCCAGCCUGGGUGACAGAGUGAGACUCUGUCUCAA
Molecule: non-coding RNA, 148 nt
Filed under: Pan troglodytes (chimpanzee)
Lineage: Eukaryota; Metazoa; Chordata; Mammalia; Primates; Hominidae
Source: Rfam by way of RNAcentral